UACAGAGGUCUCAAGCGUUGUUCGGAUUCAUUGGGCGUAAAGCGCGUGUAGGCGGCCCGGUAAGUCCGCUGUGAAAGUCCAGGGCUCAACCCUGGGAUGCCGGUGGAUACUGUCGGGCUCGAGUCCGGAAGAGGCGAGUGGAAUUCCUGGUGUAGCGGUGAAAUGCGCAGAUAUCAGGAGGAACACCAAUGGCGAAGGCAGCUCGCUGGGACGUGACUGACGCUGAGACGCGAAAGCGUGGGGAGCAAACAGG
This 253-nucleotide ribosomal RNA is filed under the name uncultured bacterium. RNAcentral's name for it is "partial 16S ribosomal RNA". It matches the Rfam family "Bacterial small subunit ribosomal RNA", at positions 524 to 776 of the family's 1533-position model. The record is from RNAcentral.